Molecule: ribosomal RNA, 402 nt
Filed under: uncultured prokaryote
Description: bacterial SSU rRNA
Rfam family: Bacterial small subunit ribosomal RNA
Source: RNAcentral
UAGGGAAUAUUAGAAAUGGCCGAAAGUCUGAUCUAGCAACACCGCGUGUGCGAAGAAGGCCUUCGGGUUGUAAAGCACUUUUUGGAAGGAUUAGGAAGGAAUGUACUUCCAGAAUAAGUCUCGGCUAACUACGUGCCAGCAGCCGCGGUAACACGUAGGAGGCAAACGUUAUCCGGAUUUACUGGGCGUAAAGCGCGUGUAGGGGGUUCUGUAAGUAGGGCGGGAAAGCUCCUGGCUCAACUGGGAGAGGCCGUUCUAAACUGCAGAGCUAGAGGAUGGGAGAGGGAGGUGGAAUUCCGGGUGUAGCGGUGGAAUGCGCAGAUAUCCGGAGGAACACCAGUGGCGAAAGCGGCCUCCUGGACCAUUCCUGACACUCAGACGCGAAAGCUAGGGUAGCAAACG